Molecule: ribosomal RNA, 486 nt
Filed under: uncultured bacterium
Lineage: Bacteria
Description: partial 16S ribosomal RNA
Rfam family: Bacterial small subunit ribosomal RNA
Source: RNAcentral
GAUGAACGCUGGCGGCGUGCUUAACACAUGCAAGUCGAACGGGAUCCCAGGAUCGUUUUUCGUUUUUUGGUGAGAGUGGCGAACGGGUGAGUAACACGUGAGUAACCUGUCCUUUUCUUUGGGAUAAGCUCCUGAAAGGGUGUUUAAUACCUUAUGUUCUGUCUGCCUCGCAUGGGGUGGGUGGGAAAGAUUUUUUCGGUGAAGGGUGGGCUCGCGGUCUAUCAGCUUGUUGGUGGGGUGAUGGCUUACCAAGGCUUUGACGGGUGGCCGGCCUGAGAGGGUGGUCGGUCACAUGGGGACGGAGAGACGGCCCAGACUCCUGCGGGAGGCAGCAGUGGGGGAUAGUGCACAAGGGGCGCAAGGCUGAUGCAGCGACGCCGCGUGGGGGAUGAAGGCGUUCGGGUUGUAAACUUCUUGUGCUCUGAACAAGGCGAAUCUUUGGGGUGUGUGGAGUGUAGGGGUUGAUUAGCGCCGGCUAACUACGUG